RNAcentral lists this non-coding RNA (32 nucleotides) under Geobacter sulfurreducens KN400. Lineage: Bacteria; Pseudomonadati; Thermodesulfobacteriota; Desulfuromonadia; Geobacterales; Geobacteraceae. The record is from RNAcentral.
GGGGCUAUAGCGGGCCUGAAGGCCGCCGGGUU